RNAcentral lists this ribosomal RNA (256 nucleotides) under uncultured bacterium. Its description in RNAcentral is "partial 16S ribosomal RNA". It matches the Rfam family "Bacterial small subunit ribosomal RNA", at positions 524 to 776 of the family's 1533-position model. The record is from RNAcentral.
UACAUGGGGUGCAAACGUUGCUCGGAAUUAUUGGGCGUAAAGCGCACGUAGGCGGUUCGUUAAGUCGGAUGUGAAAGCCCUCGGCUCAACUGAGGAAGUGCACCCGAAACUGGCGAGCUUGAGUACGAAAGAGGAUCGCGGAAUUCCCGGUGUAGAGGUGGAAAUUCGUAGAUAUUCGCAAGAACACCGGUGGCGAAGGCGGUUCUCUGGGCAUGUCCUGGACGCUGAGGAGCGAAAGUCGUGGGGAGCGAACAGG